GGACUGGUCAGUUUAUUCUGUGUGCUCUCAUUUAAAAAGUCUAUUUUACUGUUAUACUGUGUGUCCUAUUAUACUGUGUGUCUGCUAUAUUUCCUUACUCAGCUAUUUGCAAAACAUAUAUCAAUACUAGCUAGGAUGAAACCAAGAUAAACCUCUUCACAGAAACAGACUCGGUCUAAAAGGUCACGCCAGCUUGUGGUCAUGCCCCUAUGCAGCUGUUCCUGGAAGAUGACUGCUAAAUUAAAACCGCAUAAGAACUUUGUACUUUAUAUUUCGUUGUAUUUCCUCCCAUUUCAAGAUAUAUAUCUACGAAGUUUGAUAUCUAUUUUUAUAUCUAUGAAGUUUGUACUUUUCCAUUUGAAGCCACAUAGCGAAACCGCAAGCUUAGGAGGGUGUCAUAACAACCCCCACCUAGCCUAUAUAACCUUUUGUACCUUACAAUAAAGUGUGAAGAAGCAUUUUGUAUACUGAACUGUCUGUGUCAGUGUCAUUCCUGCUUAUCAGCUAGCUGAACUUAUUCACCACAAUUUGGAAGGGACAGAUACUCUCGGGACAUAUUUCUGUCCAUAACAAUUGGCGCCCAACGUGGGGCACCAGGUUCUGGCUGACCACUAGCCGAUGCCAAGGACAACAGUCGCCCAGUAGAGGAAAAGGACGGAGACUGAUCACCUCCGGGACACAGGUAAGACCUAUGUUAUUAGUUUCUUGCCUGUGUCAUACCUGUACCUACUGCUGAUGGUGUCUGUUGCCAAUAUCGACUUCUAUCAGCCAGCAAAGACAGGUAAAAUCUUGCCUGGUGCCAUUUACCUGACCUGUAUAAGAGUAUCUUGUCGCCUAUUAAUCUAUGGUUGAUGUUUAUUGUCUAUUAACUGCUUACUGGUGGAUGAAAAUAUAGAAUAAAAGGAUAGGGUAAUACUUCGGACAACAGGUGACAACUGGAUAUACAUUGUUUCUGACAUUUUGUGGGGGGAGGGACAAACGUGUCCCGACAAACGUGUCGGCCCCCCGGCGUCCUGUGCGUAGGACCAAGCAAAGUGUUAAGCAGUGUCUGCUACGGGGGGGAAGGACAGAAGUGUCCAGGACAAACGUGUCGACCCCGAGAAGCGUGUAUAUCAUACAUCUCCCAGACGUGGGAGAUAAGUACAUUUGCAGCUGAUUGACACAAGUGGUCUUUCUUCGGGGCUAGCAAACCCCGACUACCCAAGCGUGGGAGCGUGCAAAUUGCUGGAGUAGGAUAGCACACCUACUCCGUGACGGGUUGUCCCUUUUAUCCCUAGUUGUGAUAGUCAGAAGACCCACCAGUAUUGAGGUUGUUGUUCCCCUCGUGGACAUCAUUGAGUAUUGUAUUGUGUGUCCGAUGUCCUGUCCAGAGUGCGUGUUGGCCUGUUUAUGUUAUGUGUUACUUCGUCUCUGGGUGAUUUGGAUAAAAUAGAAGGGACCCUGGACGGAGAAAAACAGAGAUAGUAUCGGCAGAUAUAGUACCAGUAAGGCCGGCCCUGAUGUAUCCGAAGGCGAGAGCCAGUGGAGGCAGGUAUCUAUAUAAGUAUAUGGACAGUAUCAGUAAGGCCGGCCCUGAUGUAUCCGAAGGCGAGAGCCAGUGGAGGCAAGUAUUGUCCAUAUACAUAGGCACAAUACCCUGGGUCCUCCCAACUGAUGAACUUUGUGAUUAGUCAGUGGGAGGCGGUUUGUCUAUAAUACGUGUGGAGAUAAAAAGUUCCCGAUUGACUGAGUUUUGUACCUGUCAAGCCUGUGGCGGUCCCCCACGUAUCAUACUGUCUCUGUUCAUAUCUGGCUAAACCCAGUAAGACAUCCCACCAGAGUUGAAAUUGUGUCAAUGUCAUGAGCUCAGUUAUGUCGUGUUUGUUUUUACUUGUGUGUAUCAAUUUAAUCAUUAUACAGACUGACCAAGAACCCUGCGCAAUAUAGUCUGUACUCCUUGUCUAUCCACAAAGUGUAAUUUUUGUAUUAGGUCUGGGGAUAGGGUUAUACAGCCAGAUGGCAAAAAUCAAGUAUUUGUACCACCUUUCCCAUUGCAUGGCAAAUAUACAGCCACCGCCUUAUAAUGGCGCCUCAGAAAAAGGACAGAUAGCCAGAGUAUGAGAACUAAAACGUCAUUGAGUUUCCCUGGUGGCCAUCUUCCCCUUGGUCACUGCCCCAGUCUAGAUCUGAAGAGUAAUAAUGGGACAAAAACAUCAGUACAAUGAGUGAGGGGGUCCCGGCAUGUGAGUUAGUGGCAGGCCGGGUGGGUAAAAAGGUAUGUAAGAAAAUAUGAUAGAUUGCCAAAAGAAUGCAAUUUGACCAAGAAUGACCCCCGCCUACAGCCGGAAGAAUGGCGUCUUCUCUUAACCGAGAAGAGAGGUGUGCUACUUGAUAAGGGUUUUGUAGAGACCGCUGAAGUUUAAAGUUGUUAAAUGCUUACACAAAGAAUAAUCGAAUCAAAUAGAAAAGUUAAAGUGAUGUAUUAGAAGCUCUAAUCCUACAAGAGUUGAGUGGUUGUUACUCAUAUGGCAUAACCACAAUCUGGAUCUUUUUCACCAACAUGAAGGUUGGUGAUCUGAGCAAAAUUCCAUCAGUAGCUGUUGAGAUUAUUCCAAUCCAUUCCCAAUAGAACAGCUAUCAUUGAUCCCACCACUCAUAGAAAUCAAAGAGAAGAACAAGAAAAGCUGCUAGCAGAAGGGUUAAGUUAGAAAAAUAGAGAAUAGUGAGAAGAGACAAUUCAUCUUUCAGUGCUGAAAACAGCAGCGCUGAUACAGGCAGUUCUCAGCCCCGCAGCCAAGCUCUACCCCGCCCGUACAGUACAAACUAGAGAAGAGGGGGGGAGAGGCGGGGGCACACACACAGCACCAAAUCUUAGAAGGAUUUUUCAAGACGUUUCACAACCCCGUACUAAUCCACUCAGAUUUGGACAGGAACUCUUGUUUAUCCAUAGUGCUCAUAACCCCAAUUGGACUGAUAUGUUAGUUGUAAUCAAACAUGUGUGUGGUCCAGCGGAUUACCAACAUCUGCUAGCUAAAAUGAAAUGGGACAUUAACCCUGUUGACCCAGCCCAAGUAGGGGGUCCCGUAUUUACACAAGCUUCCUUUCUUAUCAUUAUCCCUUGUCCCCAUCCCUGACAGUUACAUAGGUAGGGACAUCUUUUGUAAACUAGGGUGCAACAUAUACUGCAAGCAGGAUGCAGUGUUUGUGUCUGUCCCACCUCAGUAAGUGUCUGAGAUGACUAAUGCCCCAGAUACAGCAAAUCUGUCACUAAAAGAAAUGUCUAAGGAGGAACCUACCUCCUGAAUUACAAUGUGUCCUAGGUGAUGUAUGGGCUUUCUUACCGACGGAUGCCCAAAAUCUCACAGCACCCACUGUCCAGGGCGCAAGUAGAGAGGAUCCGCCCAGUCAUUCAAGGGUUACUUGACAGGGGAGUGUUAAUUCACAAGAUCAGCCCAUCUUGCCAAUUAAAAAGCCCAGCAAGAAUGAGUGGUGAUGUUUCUGUUUGCCGUUUAGGUGAUUGCCCUGUUGCACCCCGUGCUCUGUUACCAUAUUUGGUUGCUGCCUCACAUGGUCUCACCCACAUUUCAAAAGGGGGGAGGUGGGAUGCAGUAUCAAGAGUGUGGUUUUCCCUGGGUUCUCAUCUAUUGCAGCCAAAUAUGUACACUCAAUGUACCCAUUUCAGAUAUUGCAGAUAGAUUACAUAUUCUCUUGACAACACUAAAGUUGUAAAUGACACAACCUAUGAAUCCGGUGUGGAAUUCUGUGAGCAAAUUAAAUCCUGGGCACAGAAUAGGUUGGCUGAUCAGGCUAUAAGCAUUCAGGACAUCAACCAAGAUUAGGCGGAAUCCGUGGAGAAAUACAAGGUCCGCAUGAUGCAGGUGUUCUAUAGUUGGUUCUUGUGAUUGUCGACAUGUUCUCAGGAUGGCCGAAGCAUAUCCCGUGGCCAAUAUGACAGCAAUCACCACCGCCAAGAAAUUACUUACCGAAGUUGUGUGUCGCUACGGUGUCCCGGAAGUCAUAGAGAGUGACCAGGGCCCAGCGUUCACUGCUACCGUCACCAAGGAAAUUUGCACUGCUCUCGGGGUGACCCUCCAUUUCCAUACUCCCUACCAUCCUCAGAGUAGUGGGAAAGUGGAGCGUAUGCAUGGCACAUUGAAAACCAGAAUGUUCAAAAUGGCGCAGGAUACAGGAAUGAAAUGGCCGGAUAGCCUGCCUAUUGCUCUGUUCAGUGUCAGAUACACACCAAGGGGGGACCAUAAAUUGUCCCCCUUCGAGAUUCUGUUUGUGUCAGCCCCCAGGUUAGGGUGUUAUUUUUCCCAACAAUUACAAUUACAAUCAAAUGUAUUGACUGACUUUGUAUCUCAAUUAACCAGUGAACUAACAAGAGUGCAUGCUCAGGUUUUCUUCUAUUCCAGAUCCCUCUCUUGCCACAGGUACUCACAGCCUCAAGCAACGAGAUUGGGUCCUAGUCAAGAAGUUUCUGAGAAAGCACUGUUUGGAGCCCAAAUUUGAUGGCCGCUUCCAAGUUCUCCUUACCACAGCUACUUCAGUGAAGCUAGAAGGAAAACCCACCUGGAUCCAUGCCUCACACUGCAAGAAAACAGAUGCACCUAAUGAACCAGAUAUUGCUCUAUAUCCUUUACCAACUGCCCCUCCUUCGGGCCGUCCCUCACAUUCCGACUACAGUACUCUCCCAAUACAUUCCUAUGACCCCACCCACCCCCACCCCCUCCCUUGCUUAGUUUAAGGACAGUGCUGUUAGUUAAGUUGGAAGGGUUGGUCACUGAUUUUGGGCAGGUCUCUCCAGAUCACGCUGAAGCAUCAUACCCACCACUAGGGUGUACCCCCUCUGGAGCAACUUACUAACUUCUAUCUAGGUAGGGACAGCAAAAUAGACGUUUUUAGGGGGGAUUGUGGUGGACUGGUCAGUUUAUUCUGUGUGCUCUCAUUUAAAAAGUCUAUUUUACUGUUAUACUGUGUGUCCUAUUAUACUGUGUGUCUGCUAUAUUUCCUUACUCAGCUAUUUGCAAAACAUAUAUCAAUACUAGCUAGGAUGAAACCAAGAUAAACCUCUUCACAGAAACAGACUCGGUCUAAAAGGUCACGCCAGCUUGUGGUCAUGCCCCUAUGCAGCUGUUCCUGGAAGAUGACUGCUAAAUUAAAACCGCAUAAGAACUUUGUACUUUAUAUUUCGUUGUAUUUCCUCCCAUUUCAAGAUAUAUAUCUACGAAGUUUGAUAUCUAUUUUUAUAUCUAUGAAGUUUGUACUUUUCCAUUUGAAGCCACAUAGCGAAACCGCAAGCUUAGGAGGGUGUCAUAACAACCCCCACCUAGCCUAUAUAACCUUUUGUACCUUACAAUAAAGUGUGAAGAAGCAUUUUGUAUACUGAA
Xenopus laevis (African clawed frog) is the source of this 5369-nucleotide long non-coding RNA. RefSeq lists it as uncharacterized. The record is from RefSeq and is a predicted model, not a curated record. The transcript has 2 exons. Lineage: Eukaryota; Metazoa; Chordata; Amphibia; Anura; Pipidae.